ACGCUAGCGGCAGGCCUAAUACAUGCAAGUCGGACGGGAUUGGAGAGCUUGCUUUCCAUGAGAGUGGCGCACGGGUGCGUAACACGUAUGCAACCUACCUUUACCAGGGGGAUAGCCUCUCGAAAGAGAGAUUAAGACCGCAUAACAUUAUUGAAUGGCAUCAUUUAAUAAUCAAAUAUUUAUAGGGUAAAGAUGGGCAUGCGGAACAUUAGCUAGUUGGUGAGGUAACGGCUCACCAAGGCUACGAUGUUUAGGGGAUCUGAGAGGAUGACCCCCCACACUGGUACUGAGACACGGACCAGACUCCUACGGGAGGCAGCAGUAAGGAAUAUUGGUCAAUGGGCGGAAGCCUGAACCAGCCAUGCCGCGUGCAGGAAGACGGCCCUACGGGUUGUAAACUGCUUUUGUACCGGAAUAAACCUUGAUUCGUGAAUCAAGCUGAAUGUACGGUAAGAAUAAGGAUC
This 464-nucleotide ribosomal RNA is filed under the name Bacteroidetes bacterium BAL214. RNAcentral describes it as "bacterial SSU rRNA". It matches the Rfam family "Bacterial small subunit ribosomal RNA", at positions 33 to 494 of the family's 1533-position model. The record is from RNAcentral. Lineage: Bacteria; Pseudomonadati; Bacteroidota.